GUGCUAAGCGGGGAGCUAGUGGUGCCCUGUACCUACAAGCCACUUUAGUAGGGCCGAACGCCUUCCUAGGUAUAUUUUAUGGAAAGCAGGAAUUAGCAAGGGACGUUGACGUUAAGGUCUUGUGCAAUAGCGUCUUGUGAACCGUGUCAGGACCUGACGGUAGCAGCACUAAGCAAAUUGCGUUGUGUGCCACAAGGUUGCCUUAAAAUAGUUACCUACUAGGAUACCGUUUCGGUAGAAUAUAUCG
Molecule: signal recognition particle RNA, 247 nt
Filed under: human gut metagenome
Also listed under: 1 other name
Description: Bacterial large signal recognition particle RNA
Rfam family: Bacterial large signal recognition particle RNA
About the family: The signal recognition particle (SRP) is a universally conserved ribonucleoprotein involved in the co-translational targeting of proteins to membranes.
Source: RNAcentral